RNAcentral lists this ribosomal RNA (407 nucleotides) under uncultured bacterium. RNAcentral's name for it is "partial 16S ribosomal RNA". It matches the Rfam family "Bacterial small subunit ribosomal RNA", at positions 30 to 526 of the family's 1533-position model. The record is from RNAcentral.
AUUGAACGCUGGCGGCAGGCCUAACACAUGCAAGUCGAGCGGAGCGGCGGACGGGUGAGUAAUGCCUGGGAAUCUGCCUGGUAGUGGGGGAUAACGUCCGGAAACGGGCGCUAAUACCGCAUACUAUCAGAUGAGCCUAGGUCGGAUUAGCUAGUUGGUGGGGUAAAGGACUACCAAGGCGACGAUCCGUAACUGGUCUGAGAGGAUGAUCAGUCACCCUGGAACUGAGACACGGUCCAGACGCCUACGGGAGGCAGCAGUGUGGAAUAUUGGACAAUGGGCGAAAGCCUGAUGCCGCGGCGCCGCGUGGGGGAUGAAGGCUUUCGUGUUGUAAACCUCUUUCGCUAUGGAACGGUUAGGUGGAGAAGAAGCGCCGGCUAACUACGUGCCAGCAGCCGCGGUAAUUC